This 560-nucleotide ribosomal RNA is filed under the name Bhargavaea ginsengi. RNAcentral describes it as "bacterial SSU rRNA". It matches the Rfam family "Bacterial small subunit ribosomal RNA", at positions 335 to 890 of the family's 1533-position model. The record is from RNAcentral. Lineage: Bacteria; Bacillati; Bacillota; Bacilli; Caryophanales; Caryophanaceae.
ACUCCUACUGCCGGGAGCAGUAGGGAAUCUUCCGCAAUGGACGAAAGUCUGACGGAGCAACGCCGCGUGAGCGAAGAAGGCCUUCGGGUCGUAAAGCUCUGUUGUAAGGGAAGAACAAGCAUCGGUUAACUGCCGGUGCCCUGACGGUACCUUACCAGAAAGCCACGGCUAACUACGUGCCAGCAGCCGCGGUAAUACGUAGGUGGCAAGCGUUGUCCGGAAUUAUUGGGCGUAAAGCGCGCGCAGGCGGUCCUUUAAGUCUGAUGUGAAAGCCCACGGCUCAACCGUGGAGGGUCAUUGGAAACUGGGGGACUUGAGUGCAGAAGAGGAAAGCGGAAUUCCACGUGUAGCGGUGAAAUGCGUAGAGAUGUGGAGGAACACCAGUGGCGAAGGCGGCUUUCUGGUCUGUAACUGACGCUGAGGCGCGAAAGCGUGGGGAGCAAACAGGAUUAGAUACCCUGGUAGUCCACGCCGUAAACGAUGAGUGCUAAGUGUUAGGGGGUUUCCGCCCCUUAGUGCUGCAGCUAACGCAUUAAGCACUCCGCCUGGGAGUCGCCACA